UGGGUUAGGGUAAGCUGUUAAGAUUUAAACUUACUCAUUUUACCUUUCACCAUGGGGCUGGUAAUCGUCACUUCUGUGUCUUGAGCAGUUAAAAGGUAGAACGGUCUAGUCAAGCGCCAUGUCUCUUGUUCUUCAAUUAACUAUAGCUCUGGAGUUUUUGCAAAUUUUCAAAUAAAACUCAGAGAUUCCUUGUAUGACUCUCUCUAGUCUCUCUUUUGAGGUAUUUCUGGAUCCUUACCAAGGCAGUAAUAGUGUAUGCCUUCUCUCAAAGUAUGUGGUAUUUUUGGUAUAAGGCAUAGUGGCAUUGCCUUCUUUCUCACCCUACUCUAAUAAGGUUUUGAUAUCUGGAGCUCAUAGGUGGGAGACAUACUUACAAGACAUUUAUUGCAUAGUCAAACCAUGGAUCCAGAAGAACAAGUCAAUAAGUCAAAUCAAGAUGUGCAUGUGUGGCGAAUGAAUGGUGCAUGGUAAUGAUCGUGAUAACAAUAGUGAAAGUCUAAUUCUACUUAUGCUCUUAUGAGGGAAUACAUACCUUUCUUGCUCUUUUGAAACUUUUAGGGAGAAUGAGAUACUCUGUAUUUUCUUUUUCUUUCCUCUCAGGUGGGUAUCUUGUACCCCUAAUUCUACUAUCGCACACUUGUCCAUUUUUACCUCUCGUCUCACUUUUUUUUCUUUGAGGUUCCGGACACUUGCCCCUUUUUAUUUCCUUGUAUACUUUUUUCUCCCUUUUUUUAUUAGAGCACUCAUCUCCUGAAAUAUAUAGCAAGUGGUAGUAACCAAGAUAACUUGAGCAUUUAUUUCACAAGGGAAAAACAGAAAUGUUUUUGGCUAUUCUCUCCCGGAUUAGGAGUAGAAUAUUUUUGGGUGAUUCUGGAGAUGGAAAUGAGUGGAUAUAUGUGGAUGCGUACUUCCGGAGUAGAAGCAGCAUGUAUGAGUGAACGUGCAAGUGAAACUUGAUUUAACCACAUGACAAGCUCCUAAGGGUCUACACAGCUUGACCACACUCAAUGCUCAUAAGCAGUAAAAAGUAAAUGUAUGGUUCAUAGUCUAACAAGCAUGUAUAUAUAUGGCUGAGGUAGGAAUUUAAACUCUCAUCAUAUAGGAACUCAUCAUGCAACAUUUUAAAGAUUUUCAAAAAUAAAAUUCUCCAGAAUUCUAGCAUCUCUAGGAAUAGAUAAACAGCAGCUCAACCUUCCCAUAUCGUAUUCGUUAACGACUUAGACUUUAGAUCAAGUACUCUCCCCACAAGUUUAGGUUUAGAGCAAAUCUUAAUUAAUAACAGUCAUGCC
Molecule: long non-coding RNA, 1289 nt
Filed under: Sorghum bicolor (sorghum)
Lineage: Eukaryota; Viridiplantae; Streptophyta; Magnoliopsida; Poales; Poaceae
Description: long non-coding RNA (SBIC_LNC014438)
Source: RNAcentral